CUAAGAAUAUUCCGCAAUGGACGGAAGUCUGACGGAGCGACGCCGCGUGGAUGACGAAGGCCGAAAGGUUGUAAAGUUCUUUUGCUGGGGAAGAAUAACCGCAGGAGGGAAUGCCUGUGGGAUGACAAGAACCGGCGAAUAAGCCCCGGCCAACUACGUGCCAGCAGCCGCGGUAACACGUAGGGGGCGAGCGUUGUUCGGAAUUACUGGGCGUAAAGGGCAUGUAGGCGGCUUGGAAAGCCUGGCGUGAAAAGUCUGCAGCUUAACUGCAGGGGUGCGCUGGGAGCUGCUGAGCUUGAGUGACGGAGAGGGAGCUGGAAUUCCUGGUGUAGGGGUGAGAUCUGUAGAUAUCAGGAAGAACACCGAUGGCGAAGGCAAGCUCCUGGCCGAUGACUGACGCUGAGGUGCGAAAGUGUGGGGAUCAAAACAGGAUUAGAUACCCUGGUAGUCCACACAGUCAACGAUGUGCACUAGGUGCUGGGGCGGUAGCUUCGGUGCCGGAGCGAACGUGGUAAGUGCACCGCCUGGGGAGUAUGCUCGCAAGGGUGAAACUUAAAGGAAUUGACGGGG
This 570-nucleotide ribosomal RNA is filed under the name uncultured bacterium. RNAcentral's name for it is "partial 16S ribosomal RNA". It matches the Rfam family "Bacterial small subunit ribosomal RNA", at positions 355 to 918 of the family's 1533-position model. The record is from RNAcentral.